CAGUUCGGAUUGUAGUCUGCAACUCGACUGCAUGAAGUCGGAAUCGCUAGUAAUCGCAGAUCAGCAAAGCUGCGGUGAAUACGUUCCCGGGCCUUGUACACACCGCCCGUCACACCACGGGAGUCGGUCGCGCCUGAAGCCGGUGGCCUAUCCUAGUAAUGGGGACGCCGUCUAUGGCGUAGAUUCGGUAACGUGGGGUGAAGUCGUAACAAGGUACC
RNAcentral lists this ribosomal RNA (218 nucleotides) under uncultured bacterium. Its description in RNAcentral is "partial 16S ribosomal RNA". It matches the Rfam family "Bacterial small subunit ribosomal RNA", at positions 1289 to 1500 of the family's 1533-position model. The record is from RNAcentral.